AAAAAAAUUAAAGAAUCAAAUAAUUUAACAAGAAAAAAUAAAUAAAAUAGAUGUGAAUUUCAUUUUUCCCUUCAAUUCAAAUUCUUCAAAAAUGGAUUAAAUGUUCAUAUUCAAGACUUAAGCUUUACUUAAAUAAGAGUAAAAGAGUAAGCCUAAUGUUCUAGGUUCAGGUAUGGAUUAAGUUUUGUCUCCAUGUAAUAAAAUUGAAAUAAUUUGCUUAUAAACAAAAUCUAUACCUAUAUAUUCAUUGUUAAACACUUGUAAGUUGAAGACAAAUAUCUAUGGCAAUUGUUUAUUAUUAUUUUUGAUGAUCUAUACUAGACUUAAAGAUAAUGUGAGUGUAGAAGGAGUGUGGUGGAAAAAUCGUUAGUAUGCUUCUCCUUCAUACAUUAAGUUUCCUGAAAAGUGAAAAAGGCUACCUCGGGUGACAAUGAAUCACUUGAGCGUGUAAGCCAUCACUUUUUUAACAAAAAGUUGGAAACCCUCUCGAGAAUGAAAAAGGCUAUCUUGGGUGGCAAUGAAUCAACUAAGCAUGCAAGCCGUCAUUUCUCAUAAAAAAGAAAAAAAAAAGAAAAAAGAAAAAAGAGAGGAACAAAAUAAGCAAUAAAUGGGGAGUUAGAGCAGAAAAUCAAAAAAGUCCUAAGCAUAAGUUUUGCAUUCACAUUUCCAAGAGUUGACGAUAGUGAAUCUUAUGUCAUUAUAUCAAUGCUAUAGUUAUGUGACUUUAUUGAACUCGUGUUUGCAUUAUCUUUUACAUGUGGUGGUAUUUAUUUGUGGCAUUAUUUGAUUUAUUGCUAGUGAAACAAACCUUAAUCUUUUCAAAGUCCUGGACAUUAGGCUAUUUAAUAUUUGAAAUUUUUGAGUUUGAGUCUAAGAACUAUUUCAUUGAUUCAUUUUUGGGUUUUUUGAAUUUUGAUGAAUAUUUGAAAGAAUCAAAUUGAUCGUUUAAUGUUGCUUUAAUCAAAUAUUUUGUUUUUUGUUUAUUAAUUUGGGAAAAAAAAUAAAUUGAUUUCAAUAAACUUAAACAAUAUUUAAGGAAAAAGGGCAACUUAAACAAGAUGAAGGAAAAAAAAAAUCCUUAUUCACUCAUGCAUAUUUUUUUUCCUUUUCUUUUUAAAAAAAUAGGUGAACCAACGUACAAUUCUUGAAUAGCUCUCAAGAGGCUAUAAUAAUGUCUUUUAUAUAUCAUAUAAAAAAUAAAAAAUAAAAAAGGGGUUAUUCACUGCUGCAUAUUUUCAAUUUCCGUUGUUUUUUGUUUUUAUUUUUUAUUUUUUAAAUUUUGGCCUUUGUCUAUCUUUUUGUUCUUUUUCUCAAUCGGUUUCUGAAAAAAAACAAAUUAUUCAUUAUUGUAUAUUUUCAAUUUCCGUUGUUUUUGGUUCUUUUCUUCUUUUCUUUUUUAUUUUUGGUAAUUUUGGCCUUUAUCCAUUUUUAAAAUUAUUUGUUCUAUUUUAAAAAUAAAAAAUAAACUAAUAAUAUUCCUCUUUCGCAUAUUUAUAAUAGAAAAUUGGGAUUUGGGCGGUGGAUUAUGGAAGUUUGGUGUUUGAAAUAGAAUAAAUCCGAGGACCACUGGUUAAAAUCUAAAUGUUAUUAAAUCUAUUGAUUUUAGAUUAUGAUAAUAUUGAGAGCAUACUUGUUGAAAAAAUUAUUUUUUUUUGUGGUAUAAAAUUGGAUUAUAGUUACAAAUUUUGGAUAUGAUUAGAAAAUUUGUCUAUGGUUGGACUUUCAAAUUAAAAGAAAUUAGGUGCUUGAAAUUAUUUGAAUUUUGGAUGGUUAGUGUAUAUAAUUAUAAAUUUGGAUUUAAUUAUUUAUCAAUAUAUUAUUAGCUUUAUAGAUUGUGAAUUUCAUCUCUUACCUUGAAGAAAUUAGGUUGAGAUUUUGAUGAUAUGAAAUUUGUGGAGGUUAGAUGUACUAAUUUUGGAUUUGGUUAUAGGAAAUUUGGUAGUAUCUUAUUGUUUGGGUGUUUAAUUGGAACAAGCCCGGAGUUUUGGGAUGAUAGUUCUAGUUUUAGAUUAUUGAUUUAAGUUCAAUGUUAGAACUUGGAGUUGAUCAUAUGACUACAAAAUUAGAUUUUGAUUAUUAUUUUAAGGCAUGGUUGAUUUCAUUGAUUUUAAAUAUUCUAAGAGAAAAUUGAGAUUUUUCUUGAGAGAAUUUGGACAUUAUUGAGGGAAGAUUUUCAAGAAUUUGGAGAGUAUUUAUUAGAUAUAUUAAUUAUUAGUAGUUAAUGAUAAAUUUGUGUCAUUAGACAUUUUGUGAAUUGGAGAUGAUAAUUUGCUCAUAAGAAAAGAUGAUAUUAAUGAAGAAGGUUUGGACCAUAGAUAUAAGAGCUUGAUGAAUUUGAAGAGUAUUUAUUAAAUAUGUCAAUAAAGAGUGCUUGCCCUUAGUUGGUUGGGGGUUGUCGAGAUUUUUUUGCUAGAAGAUUUUGAUAAAUUGAAAAAAUAUUUGUUAAAUAUAUCAAUUAUUGCAUGAUGAACGAUUUUGAUAAAUUUGAAGAAUUUUUAUUAGAUCACUUUUGAGGAAAUUAAGAUCAAGGUUUUGAUAAUAGAAAUUUGUGGAGACUACAUGUAUAAAUUUGUUGGAUUUGGUAUUGGGAGAUUUGUUAGUAUUUUUUGGAUGAUUGGUGUAAGUUUAGUUUUAGAAUUUUAAGUUCAUUGAAUAGGUUAUAAAAUUAGAUUUUGAUUAAUAUUCAAAGACAUAAUUGAUUUUAUGGAGAUUUUCGGGUAGUUGAAAAGUAUUCGGAGACAAAAAAUUUGUUUAUUAGAAACAACUUAGACAAUAUUAACGGAGAAAUUUGACAAAUUUGAAGAGUAUUUGUUACAUAUAUUAAUUUAUAGGAAAUAUGUAACAAUUUGUACCUUUAGGUGUAUUAGAGACAAUUUGACAUCAUUCGGUGAAGGUAUGUAUAUAUAAAAUAUCUUUUAUAAUUAUCUAUAUUUUAUUCUAUUGCUGACUUAGGCAUCGGAGCCUCUUUGUUUUGUUUUGCAGGUGUUCUCAUUCACUGUGACCCAAAUUAGAGGCCUGGGCCUGGGUUCAAAUCCCCUCUCAAGGCUAAAACCCUUUGGGCAGGACUCGACCUCAAUCAUAGGAGAUCCAACCCUUCCUCUCCUCCAAGAGGCCCAUCACAUUAUUUUCCGAAUUUUUAUUUUUUGAAAAUCAUAAACAAUCAUUUUGUCUUCUGGGUUUUUAAUAAAGGGGAGGGAGUGCCCAACAACAAGAGCUGUACCAGAUGAGACGAUUGCAAAUUUGACACAGGGCUCACCGUCACAUGGGCACGGGGAAGAAAAUACUUCAAAUGGAAACAAAAUUGAUAUGACCUUCCCCCUCAUAAUGAUCAUUAUUCAAUUCUUCAUUCUAUUGUGUGGAGAGGCAAUGUGUGGUGGGAAUGGCUUGACAAAGAUUUUGGGGGCUUGAGGGCCUGUGAACGUGAAUUGGAGUCCACAUGACCAAUACUAUGAACCCCAACUCUCCACAUCUCUCUCCCUCACCUUCACUGACAGUGAAACUGUGUGUGAAGACAAUGGUGGGUUAUCAAAAAUGAUGAAGGGUAGGAGUUUGGUCUGCUUUCAUGGCCUGUCAUUGUGCUUUUCCAUUCUCACCAUCACCGCAGAGGGACUGUUUCUCCAUGACCAACACCAGCCUCAAACCUUCCAGAGCAUCCAAACCCGUUAUUCUCUCUUCCAUUGGCAGCACUAAAGCCUCCUACAAUGCUCUUGUUUUUUAGGCUGCUAGGCUUGUGGGGCCUCCGGCAAAAUUUGAUGCUUCAAAGCUGAAAGUUGUGCCCAUGGGAGAAGAAAUUGAUAAUUACUCUGGAAUCAUCCCAAGAGUGUACACCCUCUCCCACUGUGACUUUACAGCUAAUCUAACCUUAACCAUAUCCAAUAUCAUCAGCCUUGAUCAGGUGCGGAUUCUUUUUAAUUACUCCUCCAGCACAUAAUUAAGCUGUCUUCCUGAUGUCAACACUACAUGCAUUCACACAGAAAAGUUUGCUUACUUUGUGUAAUAAUACCUGAUCAUGAAAAUAAUCAAACAUUCUGGAACAAUGAGGACUGGCUCAGUGUGUUUGUGUACGGAUAGCUGGACAAAAAGAGUGCUAUGCUCUGGAAUACCUGAAAUUCUCAUUGGAUCUUUGCAUAUUCAUGUAUUGCAGUUGAAAGGGUGGUACAACAAGUUUAAACACAAUCUAUAUCUAUAUAUUCAUUGUUCAACGCAAGUAAAAUGAAGACAAAUAUCUAUGGCAAUUGUUCAUUAUUAUCUUUGAUGAUCCAUGCUAGACUUGAAGAAAAUGUGAGUGUAGAAGGAGUGUGGUGGAAAAAUCGUUAGUAUGCUCCUCCUUCAUACAUUAAGUUUCCUAAAAAGUGGAAAAGGCUACCUCGGGUGGCAAUGAAUCACUUGAGCGUGUAAGCCCUCACUUUUCUCAAAAAAAUUGGAAACACUCUCAAGAAUGAAAAAGGCUACCUUGGAUGGCAAUGAAUCAACUAAGCGUGUAAGUUGUCAUUUCUCAUAAAAAAAAGA
Vitis vinifera (wine grape) is the source of this 4509-nucleotide long non-coding RNA. RefSeq lists it as uncharacterized. The record is from RefSeq and is a predicted model, not a curated record. Lineage: Eukaryota; Viridiplantae; Streptophyta; Magnoliopsida; Vitales; Vitaceae. The transcript is spliced from 2 exons.